AUUGAACGCUGGCGGCAUGCCUUACACAUGCAAGUCGAGCGCGAAAGGGGCAACCCCGAGUAGAGCGGCGGACGGGUGAGUAACACAUCGGAACGUGCCCAGUAGUGGGGGACAACCUCGAGAAAUCGAGGCUAAUACCGCAUACGACCCACGGGUGAAAGCGGGGACCGCAAGGCCUCGCGCUAUUGGAGCGGCCGAUGUCCGAUUAGCUAGUUGGCGGGGUAAGAGCCCACCAAGGCGACGAUCGGUAGCUGGUCUAAGAGGACGACCAGCCACACUGGACUGAGACACGGCCCAGACU
RNAcentral lists this ribosomal RNA (301 nucleotides) under uncultured bacterium. RNAcentral's name for it is "bacterial SSU rRNA". It matches the Rfam family "Bacterial small subunit ribosomal RNA", at positions 29 to 337 of the family's 1533-position model. The record is from RNAcentral.